Molecule: ribosomal RNA, 253 nt
Filed under: uncultured bacterium
Lineage: Bacteria
Description: partial 16S ribosomal RNA
Rfam family: Bacterial small subunit ribosomal RNA
Source: RNAcentral
UACGGGGGGGGCAAGCGUUGUUCGGAAUUACUGGGCGUAAAGGGAGCGUAGGCGGGUUUUUAAGUCAGGUGUUUAAUCCCGGGGCCCAACCCCGGACCGGCACUUGAAACUGGGAAUCUUGAAUAGGGGAGAGGUCAGUGGAAUUGGAGGUGUAGCGGUGGAAUGCGUAGAGAUCUCCAAGAACACCAGUUGCGAAGGCGGCUGACUGGACCCAUAUUGACGCUGAGGCUCGAAAGCAUGGGGAGCAAACAGG